Molecule: unclassified non-coding RNA, 385 nt
Filed under: Hevea brasiliensis (rubber tree)
Lineage: Eukaryota; Viridiplantae; Streptophyta; Magnoliopsida; Malpighiales; Euphorbiaceae
Source: RNAcentral
UUUCACAGCUUUCUGGCCAUAUUUUCUCCAGCGGUAGCCAUCAUCAAGAAUAUCAUCUGCACUCCUCGUUUUAAAAGCAAACCUUGGCCGACUCUGUUUCUUCAUCAUUCGGCCACUUUUUCUCCUAUCCUUGUUACCCUUUUCUUCCCCAGUUACCGCAGAAGCGCUUUCCAUCAUUGGUGCCCUAUUCUCUCCUACGCCGGAUUGACCCCAGAGAAGGCCAACCCAGUCGAUAUCUGGAAGGACCUGAGGCUCUAUAAAGGGAGGGUGCAAUGAUGAGGAAGGGUAUGAGGGUGAGAAGAGAUAGGCUGGCAAUUGUGGUAAUGGUGGAGGUGGAGGAGGUGGUGGUGGCGCUUCUUGGCCUUCCAUUUGUGGGGCUCCAAAG